UGAGUAACGCGUGGGAACGUACCUUUGGUUCGGAACAACACAGGGAAACUUGUGCUAAUCCGGAUAAGCCCUUACGGGGAAAGAUUUAUCGCCGAAAGAUCGGCCCGCGUCUGAUUAGCUAGUUGGUGAGGUAAUGGCUCACCAAGGCGACGAUCAGUAGCUGGUCUGAGAGGAUGAUCAGCCACAUUGGGACUGAGACACGGCCCAAACUCCUACGGGAGGCAGCAGUGGGGAAUAUUGGACAAUGGCGCAAGCCUGAUCCAGCCAUGCCGCGUGAGUGAUGAAGGCCCUAGGGUUGUAAAGCUCUUUUGUGCGGGAAGAUAAUGACGGUACCGCAAGAAUAAGCCCGGCUAACUUCGUG
Molecule: ribosomal RNA, 361 nt
Filed under: uncultured bacterium
Lineage: Bacteria
Description: bacterial SSU rRNA
Rfam family: Bacterial small subunit ribosomal RNA
Source: RNAcentral